ACACUGUGGUUCAGAGAAAUUAAGUAGCUUGAAAUUCACAAAGCCUGGAAGUGGUGGAGCUAGGAUUUAAAGGGAAAAAUUCAAAGCUCAGGCCAUGUUGCUGGAUCUGUAACUGUGUUCAGUUUUCCAAGACUGUUCUCCAUCAGAAACAACUUGAUUCUCACACUUCUUUCAUCACUGAUGUCUUCCUGCCUCACUCCAUGCUCUGCAAAUUAGAAACAUGAAGCUGAAAAGCAGCUGAAGGGCAAGGGCAUUUGCAGUUAUCGUGUCCAAGGCCACGUUCUGCGGAGGAGGAAAGUGCAUGGUGAAAAGGCAGAUGGAACCUGGCUGCUCUUUGCCGCGGUCAGCAUGAGCAUGCGCCAGAUACCUCCCUGGAUGUAGAGAUGCAGAGGGUGUUUUGCAGGAACUCAGGUUUCUCAUAGAGGUAAUUUAGUUACCAUGUUGCCAGCCUCUGCAGACUUCCCAGUUUGCUGUCAUGGAAUUGGGAAAAACAGAAAACAUUUUACCCUCCACUUCCAGGGCCUCAUUCCCUGGGGCAAAGAGUUUAUAAAAGAUGAUGAGAGUGCAGGUGGCACCUUGGGGCAGCAGUGAGAGUAUCCAUCCAUUAAUCUCUGAAGAGCCAGGAAAAGCAACACUGUUCUAUGGAGACUUCAUCUCAUGCCUGUUUCCAGCCUCGUUCCCUGUCAGGUGCAGUGACCCUGGUAAUACUAGCCACACUAAGAAUCUUGCACGUCUCAAAAUAAAAAAUGCACUUUGAUGCU
Marmota monax (woodchuck) is the source of this 761-nucleotide long non-coding RNA. RefSeq lists it as uncharacterized. The record is from RefSeq and is a predicted model, not a curated record. The transcript has 2 exons. Lineage: Eukaryota; Metazoa; Chordata; Mammalia; Rodentia; Sciuridae.